CCCCUGAUGCAUACAACAGCUAAACUUGACUGCCUACUGUUUUUUUUGCCUUAGCACAAGCUGCUGUCCUUGUCCCCCUCAUCCGGAAUGUUCUCACUCUUCACCUCCUCUUCCUGGAAUCCCAAGCUCCCUUCAAGGAUCAGCUCAACUGUCACCUCCAAGAAGUCCUUGUUUCUCCUAAUGUCUUUCUCUCCAAUCACUUUAUAUUUGUAUAUGUGUUUUGGUGAACAUCUUGUAUCCUCCAAGAAAAAGUCAUGGAAUGAAGAGUACAUGCAGAACAACAACAGGAAAUAAAUCUGGAAAAGGAAGUAGAAGAUAUACUGUAGAAAGUUUUAAAUGCCUGGCUAGGAAAUGUAUUUUUUAACCAUCAAAGAUUUUUUUUUUUUUGGAGAAUUUUUUAGUAGAAGACUCAGAAGAUCCAAUCUCUGUAUUAGAUAUAUCAAGUUUGGAGUUAUGUUGAAGAUGAA
This is a long non-coding RNA of Sarcophilus harrisii (Tasmanian devil), 467 nucleotides long. RefSeq lists it as uncharacterized. NCBI's taxonomy places the organism in Eukaryota, Metazoa, Chordata, Mammalia, Dasyuromorphia, Dasyuridae. The record is from RefSeq and is a predicted model, not a curated record. The transcript is spliced from 2 exons.